AAAAAGCGAAAACUUGUUUACCACUUGUUGCGAGACAUGUACAUAUUUAGAAAAUGAGCCGGUGGUUAGUCAUUGCACCGGACGCGCGCAAAGUACGAUGAAUGUGACAUGACGAAGCAUGAGAAGAAGAAGGAACUGGAAAAAUAAAAAUAGGAGAAACUCUCGGAGCAGAUGAAAAGAGAAAAGAGCAACGUGCGAUUUGCAAAGAACA
Caenorhabditis elegans is the source of this 211-nucleotide non-coding RNA. The record is from Ensembl. Lineage: Eukaryota; Metazoa; Nematoda; Chromadorea; Rhabditida; Rhabditidae.